CCGGGGGGCGGCAGCAGUGAGGAAUAUUGGUCAAUGGCCGAGAGGCUGAACCAGCCAAGUCGCGUGAGGGAAGACGGCCCUACGGGUUGUAAACCUCUUUUGUCGGGGAGCAAAGCGAGUCACGUGUGACUCAUUGAGAGUACCCGAAGAAAAAGCAUCGGCUAACUCCGUGCCAGCAGCCGCGGUAAUACGGAGGAUGCGAGCGUUAUCCGGAGUUAUUGGGUUUAAAGGGUGCGCAGGCGGAGGUGCAAGUCAGCGGUCAAAUUGCGGGGCGCAACCCCGUACUGCCGUUGAAACUGCAGCCCUUGAGUGCGCGAGAAGUAUGCGGAAUGCGUGGUGUAGCGGUGAAAUGCAUAGAUAUCACGCAGAACUCCGAUUGCGAAGGCAGCAUACCGGCGCGCAACUGACGCUCAUGCACGAAAGCGUGGGUAUCGAACAGGAUUAGAUACCCUUGUAGUC
RNAcentral lists this ribosomal RNA (459 nucleotides) under uncultured bacterium. RNAcentral describes it as "partial 16S ribosomal RNA". It matches the Rfam family "Bacterial small subunit ribosomal RNA", at positions 338 to 795 of the family's 1533-position model. The record is from RNAcentral.